GUACACGCUGUGACUAGCAUAUCAAUAAGCGGAGGAAAAGAAACUAACAAGGAUUCCCUUAGUAACGGCGAGUGAAGCGGGAAGAGCUCAAAUUUGAAAUCUUCAAGGUUUUACCUUGACGAAUUGUAGUUUAAAGAAGUGUUUUCUGCUGAAGUUUUGGUAAAAGUUCUUUGGAAUAGGACAUCAUAGAGGGUGAGAAUCCCGUAUUUGACCAUUAUUUUCAGCUUUGUGAUACACUUUCAAAGAGUCGGAUUGUUUGGGAAUGCAGUCCCAAAACUGGGUAGGUAAAUUUCUUCUAAGGCUAAAUAUUGGCGAGAGACCGAUAGCGAACAAGUACCGUGAGGGAAAGAUGAAAAGAACUUUGAAAAGAGAGUUAAAUAGUACGUGAAAUUGUCAAAAGGGAAGCGUUUAACACCAGUGUUGUUUUCUGAAAAUCAACCUCUGUUAGCUUUAUGCAUGUUUGUUUAGACCUAAUCAGCUAUCUUGCAUGUUCUAUUGUUUGCAGUGGUGCACUUUUCAGUUUACAGGUCAACAUCAGUUUUUUUUACCGUAAAAAAGUUAAAGAAAGGUAGUUCAUGGCUCCGGUCGUGAGUGUUAUAGUCUUUUUCCUAUGCGGUAGGAGAGACUGAGGUCUGCAGUGUAGGCUAUUUGGCUAGAUACUCAGGUGCUAUGUGAUACCAUUUCAUAAACAACUUGUUGAUUAUGUUUUGUCUAUUGCAUACUCGCUUGUACUAUCAUACCUACGCUUAGGAUGUUGACGCAUGAGAUAUACGC
This 774-nucleotide ribosomal RNA is filed under the name uncultured Neocallimastigales. RNAcentral's name for it is "partial large subunit ribosomal RNA". It matches the Rfam family "Eukaryotic large subunit ribosomal RNA", at positions 22 to 645 of the family's 3401-position model. Lineage: Eukaryota; Fungi; Neocallimastigomycota; Neocallimastigomycetes; Neocallimastigales. The record is from RNAcentral.